This 253-nucleotide ribosomal RNA is filed under the name uncultured bacterium. Its description in RNAcentral is "partial 16S ribosomal RNA". It matches the Rfam family "Archaeal small subunit ribosomal RNA", at positions 474 to 727 of the family's 1478-position model. The record is from RNAcentral.
UACCAGCACCCCGAGUGGUCGGGACGUUUAUUGGGCCUAAAGUAUCCGUAGCCGGUUCUACAAGUCUUCCGUUAAAUCCAACUGCUUAACAGGUGGGCUGCGGAAGAUACUAUAGAGCUAGGAGGCGGGAGAGGCAAGCGGUACUCGAUGGGUAGGGGUAAAAUCCGUUGAUCCAUUGAAGACCACCAGUGGCGAAGGCGGCUUGCCAGAACGCGCUCGACGGUGAGGGAUGAAAGCUGGGGGAGCAAACCGG